This 360-nucleotide unclassified non-coding RNA is filed under the name uncultured Polyporales. Its description in RNAcentral is "sequence contains ITS1". The stretch from base 1 to 105 matches the Rfam family "5.8S ribosomal RNA", at positions 50 to 154 of the family's 154-position model. Lineage: Eukaryota; Fungi; Basidiomycota; Agaricomycetes; Polyporales. The record is from RNAcentral.
GAAAUGCGAUAAGUAAUGUGAAUUGCAGAAUUCAGUGAAUCAUCGAAUCUUUGAACGCACCUUGCGCUCCUUGGUAUUCCGAGGAGCAUGCCUGUUUGAGUAUCAUGGAAUUCUCAACUCCCAAAUUUUUUUAAUUAAAAGUUUGGUGAGCUUGGAUGUGGAGGAUCAGUGUUGGCUCAUUAUUUAGAGUCGACUCCUCUGAAAUACAUUAGCGUGAAUCUUACGGAUCGCCUUCAGUGUGAUAAUUGUCUACUCUGUGGUCGUGAAGUAUCUAUGUGUUCAUGCUUAUAACUGUCUCUCUGAGACAAUUAUUUUAUGACUUCUGAUCUCAAAUCAGGUAGGACUACCCGCUGAACUUAA